Long non-coding RNA from Raphanus sativus (radish), 1493 nucleotides. RefSeq lists it as uncharacterized. The record is from RefSeq and is a predicted model, not a curated record. Lineage: Eukaryota; Viridiplantae; Streptophyta; Magnoliopsida; Brassicales; Brassicaceae. The transcript has 2 exons.
UCUUCUCAUCUAUAUUCAUAGCUUUGUGUUGUAAGUAUUAUAUUUUAGGAAUUCCUUGUGGUUUCGUUAGCUCUUCUCACUGUAAGUUUGGCUAUAUGAGCGUUGAACUUGGCAAAUGUUUAUUCCCCUAGGGCAACCCUCUCAAAAAAUUUUUUUUCUCUUGUUUAAUUAAUUUCUCACAUGUUAUGCAGUUAGUUAGUGUCUGAACAUGGUCAAGUUUAUGCUAUAAUUUAAAAUUGUUCGAGAGUUUCCAUUAACAUGGUUAUGGUGUUUCUGUUUUUUUGUCUCCGCAGAAUCUAAGAAUAUGUCUCUUCACACUGUUCAGAGGAUCAUAGCAGAACAAGAGUUCAGUUAGCCUCCCGUGAGUAGAAAGAAGCUGACGAUAGAGAGAGAUGCUAGAACUGAAAGGCAUAAACUACAACUGAUGAAGCAGUUUGCUGUGAUCUUCUUGGUUAUGUUUUGAAGCCUGGCUCCGCAUCAAACCGUCCUUUAAGGAUGGUGCUUGAGGACGUGAUCAAAAGUUUUUAGACUUUGAGGGGAUUGCAAGACUAGCAGACUUCUGUCACAGGUAUGUAUUUUUCAAAUCUCUUUCUAAUUACUUGAGUCUCACGCAGAUAUAUAUUUUGAAUUUAAGUGAGGCUUUUGCAAUUUAUAAUUGUAGUUUAUUCGACUUUCGAAUCUUUUUGUUUGUGUUAUCUACUAACUCCUUUGGUGAUCAUUCUAAUUAUAGGAGAAGACGCUCCUGUAAUUUAUAAUUAAUUUUGGUUACUGCAUUCUACAGGCUGCAACACGUCUUUACAAUUCUGCAUCCUGCAUCACGUCUUUACAAUUCUAUAUCCUGCAUCACGUCCGUACAGCUCGCAUCCUACAUCUUGCAUCAUGCAUCAUGUCUUUAGUAUCCUGCAUCAUGUGUUUAGUAUCCUACAUCAUGUCUUUAGCAUCUUGCAUCUUGCUUCCUGCAUAUGUCCAUUAAUUCUGCAUUAUUUAUCAUGUAUUUGCAAUCCUAAAGUCAAAUUUGUUUGUCAGAGGAAUUUUGCCUUCUGCAUCAUAGUUCGUAUACUUAUGAUUGUUGUAUUAUAAAUGCUAUCUAUUGACUUGAGUUUUUCACACACGCUAAUCAAAAAUAUAUUUGUUGUGGUACUAGUGUUUGUAAAUGUAUGGUUUUGGAAAUCUACUGAGUCAUCAGUGUAUUUAUUUAGCAUGCGCAAAUAGUCUCUUUUGUAGGCAUACAUGAUACAUCAUAUGCGUUUUAAUCUUCUAGGUUUUUAGGUAGGCUAAAUUUAUUCUAUGCCUGAAAUUUUAUUUUUGUUUCAAAAACCAUAAUUUUGCUCUAAUAGUUGUUAAUUUGGAAGUUCUCGACUCUCUAGCAGAGAUAUUUGUGUAAACAAUCAAGCUUUGUAUACUUUGAAGGUAAUGUUUCUAAGACGGUGUAAAUUAUUGUUGAACUAAGGGUCGUAAACCCUUUCACCAAAAAAACUAUUGGUCAUUUUUCA